Molecule: ribosomal RNA, 506 nt
Filed under: uncultured bacterium
Lineage: Bacteria
Description: partial 16S ribosomal RNA
Rfam family: Bacterial small subunit ribosomal RNA
Source: RNAcentral
AGUGAACGCUGGCGGUAGGCCUAACACAUGCAAGUCGAACGGCAGCACAGAGGAGCUUGCUCCUUGGGUGGCGAGUGGCGGACGGGUGAGGAAUACAUCGGAAUCUACUCUGUCGUGGGGGAUAACGUAGGGAAACUUACGCUAAUACCGCAUACGACCUACGGGUGAAAGCAGGGGAUCUUCGGACCUUGCGCGAUUGAAUGAGCCGAUGUCGGAUUAGCUAGUUGGCGGGGUAAAGGCCCACCAAGGCGACGAUCCGUAGCUGGUCUGAGAGGAGAAUCAGCCACAGUGGAACUGAGACACGGUCCAGACUCCUACCGGAGGCAGCAGUGGGGAAUAUUGGACAAUGGGCGAAAGCCUGAUCCAGCCAUACCGCGUGGGUGAAGAAGGCCUUCGGGUUGUAAAGCCCUUUUGUUGGGAAAGAAAUCCAUCUGGUUAAUACCCGGGUGGGAUGACGGUACCCAAAGAAUAAGCACCGGCUAACUUCGUGCCAGCCGCCGCCGUAA